Molecule: ribosomal RNA, 628 nt
Filed under: uncultured Russulaceae
Lineage: Eukaryota; Fungi; Basidiomycota; Agaricomycetes; Russulales; Russulaceae
Description: LSU rRNA
Rfam family: Eukaryotic large subunit ribosomal RNA
Source: RNAcentral
UAAGCGGAGGAAAAGAAACUAACAAGGACUCCCCUAGUAACUGCGAGUGAAGCGGGAAAAGCUCAAAUUUAAAAUCUGGUGGUCUUUGGCCAUCCGAGUUGUAAUCUAGAGAAGCGUCUUCCGCGCUGGACCGUGCACAAGUCUCCUGGAAUGGAGCGUCGUAGAGGGUGAGAAUCCCGUCUUUGGCAUGGACACACCAGGGCUUUUGUGAUGCGCUCUCGAAGAGUCGAGUUGUUUGGGAAUGCAGCUCAAAAUGGGUGGUGAACUCCAUCUAAAGCUAAAUAUUGGCGAGAGACCGAUAGCGAACAAGUACCGUGAGGGAAAGAUGAAAAGCACUUUGGAAAGAGAGUGAAACAGUACGUGAAAUUGUUGAAAGGGAAACGCUUGAAGUCAGUCGCGUCGACCGAGACUCAGCCUCGCCUCGGCUUGGCGUACUUCUCGGCCCGACGGGUCAGCAUCAAUUUCGCCUCUUGGAUAAUGGCGAGGGAAACGUGACACCUUUACGGUGUGUUAUAGUCUCUCGUCGCAUGCAAGGGUCGGGAUUGAGGAACUCAGCACGCGCCUUUGGGCGUCGGGGCUUUGCCUACGAUACGUGCUUAGGAUGUUGGCGUAAUGGCUUUAAACGACC